Molecule: non-coding RNA, 703 nt
Organism: Misgurnus anguillicaudatus (oriental weatherfish)
Lineage: Eukaryota; Metazoa; Chordata; Actinopteri; Cypriniformes; Cobitidae
Source: RefSeq, a predicted model, not a curated record
GUUGCGAUAAGGCACGUGGGGUCGCUGUUCGGCUAAAGCUCCCAAAACAUCAGACAAAGCCGACAGACUGCGAUUUAUACAGGAGCUCUCCCAUAGAGCUGCACCACUCACACCUGACAUCCCUAAACAAGAGACUCACCCACGCACUCACUCCCGGCCAGGUCUACCAACUGGAGCUUGGUCUUGAGGGGAGUCUGCGUGAUGCUGGGCCGUGGAGAUGGGCACGGAGACUGACAAGGGGAGUGGCAGGGCGAGGAGGCGGGGCUUGAUGUAGAAGAGGAGGCGGCCCUGCGGCAGCGUGGGCUCCACCAUUCCUUCUGAGACAGCCUUCGGAUGUCCUGCCUUGCACUCUGUAGUCUGCGCGCUGCACAUAUGUCAGACAAAGUCCAGAAUAUAAGAAUUCAAUCGUUUUGGCCUUACACAAGUCUUAUGCUCCAUCUUCAUCUCUGGCCAGCAGAUCCAGAACCUCAUUAUUAUAAACCUCCAUCACAGACAUCUCCACUGUAUGAAUGUCUGAAGGCUUCUCGGAGAUCAGCCUGAAACAUCCACCAAUACAGACAGACAGUCUUCAGGCUGAAUAUGAAAUUCUGUGUGUGAUAUUGUUGUUAACUUUAGUUGAGAAGUGAUGUGAGUUUACUUGAAGAGUUCAUUGGCUGCUUUUGGAACGAUGCCCUGUUGAGAGUCCUUCACUGCUGCUGAGAGC